UCAGUGGCCAACAGAUCGCCAGAUCGUUGAGCUGCAUUGGCGGGAUUUCGCCGUCUUCGUUUCUCUUUCUUCGCGGACGAACACGCGCUGGGCCUGCAACGGCAGGAUCCAGGGUCCUUAACGGGAUGUGCGUUAGGGGCUUGUAGCUCAGUUGGUUAGAGCGCGCGCUUGAUAAGCGUGAGGUCGGAAGUUCAAGUCUUCCCAGGCCCACCACUUUCAUCGAGUGAGCAUUCGUCUUCUGGUUACGGGGCCAUAGCUCAGCUGGGAGAGCGCGUGCUUUGCAAGCAUGAGGUCGUCGGUUCGAUCCCGUCUGGCUCCACCAGAUGGUUUGAUCACCGAGAUCUUGACCGUCGUCCGCGAAACAUCACUUCGCAUCCUGCUAGUCUGGAUAGACAGCAGUUUGCGUGUUUUCUGACAUCGUAAAGAGGAGAUCGAUCCGAGUUGGGUCGUGCAGCAUAUCGUUGCGCGAGCCUUCAUUAUCUCCGGAUCAUUUCGGCGCUCGCUUCCAGCCGUGAGGUUGGAUGCGGGUUGUAAAUGAUCCUUUUAGCGAAGCUUGACCGCCUCGCUAUCGGAACGAUCUUACGAAGCAAGCUGGUCUUUCUAGUCAAUGUCCGGCUGCGGAUAGCGUUCAUCGAGGGCGCGUGCCGCAAGGCAAUUCUGCAGACAACAUUCUGCCGAGUGUGUGGACAUUGAUAAUGAGAGCAAUCAAGUGCCUUAAGGGUGUUCGGUGGAUGCCUUGGCGCUGAGAGGCGAUGAAGGACGUGCUACGCUGCGAUAAGCCGUGGGGAGCUGCGAAGAAGCUUUGAUCCGCGGA
RNAcentral lists this unclassified non-coding RNA (814 nucleotides) under Bradyrhizobium vignae. RNAcentral describes it as "partial 16S-23S ribosomal RNA intergenic spacer". The stretch from base 704 to 814 matches the Rfam family "Bacterial large subunit ribosomal RNA", at positions 1 to 110 of the family's 2925-position model. Lineage: Bacteria; Pseudomonadati; Pseudomonadota; Alphaproteobacteria; Hyphomicrobiales; Nitrobacteraceae. The record is from RNAcentral.